GGCGACGACGACGACGACGACGACGACGACAACGGCAGUGGCGGGCCGGCCACACAAAAUCAUUUUCCUUUCUAUCUCCUAUCUUCAAGGAUGAGAUUACAGGAAUCUUCACUUACCGUAUAUUCGACGAUCCUCGAACAGCGACCAUGUAUAAACGAACACCGACACAGGGCCCCCUUUACGGAACUGAAGUAACGUUGACGGUAGGCUCAUGAACAAAGACCACGCACGAUUUCAAAUCUCGUCCCGCCUAUUGGCCGGCCGAAGUCACGUGAUGCGGCCUAGGCCAUACUCAUUGGUCGGUACAUUUCGUUCGCGAGGAUGUUUUAAAUGCUACACCAUUUGCACAUGGCUGACAAAGGAAUUUACGCGAGAUAUCUUUUUAGACUUUGUUAUGACUUCUCAAAGAUUUUUUUGACCUCGAACAUUCGGCCUACCGAUUAUGUUAAAUCCUUCGCUUGGUAACACCCACGAAAAUCUCCAAACGAUUGGCAUGAAUGACAGAAGUGGCAGCAUGUUUUUCUUCCAUUUUCCCCCUCCCCGCCGCAAGAAAAUGGCCGAGUCCAUGCACGAAGAAAAAAUUCUUCUUACUCCUGAUUAAUAAAUUAUUUUGAUAUUUUGAGGACCAUCCGAGGAAGUUAUUAUUUUUAAACACUAUCACACGAAAUAUCAUUCACAACUUUCAUCGUUACGUCGAUAAAAUAAUUGAGAUAAAGUCGAAGAAGAUGGACGAGUCUAUUACUUUGUUAGAGAGGGAUGGUUGGCAUAUGGUUAACAAUGAACCCACUACGUACGACAAUGGCGAGAAUACACAUUUGUGCGCACCGAUAUAUCGACUUCUAGAUCAA
Molecule: long non-coding RNA, 848 nt
Organism: Vespa mandarinia (Asian giant hornet)
Lineage: Eukaryota; Metazoa; Arthropoda; Insecta; Hymenoptera; Vespidae
Source: RefSeq, a predicted model, not a curated record